GAAAGUGGUCAUACCGUCCUGCCUGAUCCUGUCAGAUCUUGCAAUUUAUGCAGGGCUGGGCCUGAUUAGUACUUAGAUGGGAGACCACCUUGGAAGACAAGGGGUCGUUAGAC
RNAcentral lists this ribosomal RNA (113 nucleotides) under Mastacembelus armatus (zig-zag eel). Lineage: Eukaryota; Metazoa; Chordata; Actinopteri; Synbranchiformes; Mastacembelidae. The record is from RNAcentral.